RNAcentral lists this ribosomal RNA (253 nucleotides) under uncultured bacterium. RNAcentral's name for it is "partial 16S ribosomal RNA". It matches the Rfam family "Bacterial small subunit ribosomal RNA", at positions 524 to 776 of the family's 1533-position model. The record is from RNAcentral.
UACAGAGGGUGCGAGCGUUGUCCGGAAUCACUGGGCGUAAAGGGCGCGUAGGCGGCUCAGUAAGGUUGCGGUGAAAGCCCGGGGCUCAACCCCGGGUCGGCCGUGGCAACUGCUGGGCUGGAGCACUGUAGAGGCAGGUGGAAUUCCGGGUGUAGCGGUGGAAUGCGUAGAGAUCCGGAAGAACACCGGUGGCGAAGGCGGCCUGCUGGGCAGUAGCUGACACUGAGGCGCGACAGCGUGGGGAGCAAACAGG